GGACCGGAAGUCGAAGCCACAGCCAAGGGCCACUGAUUUAAUCAAUCGUGCCUACUGAACGAGGCCUCCGUAAGACCCCGAAAGGACGGGGUUCACAGAACCUCCCCCUCGGUGCACAUGUAGAGGGGGAGAGUGGUGUGCCUGCAGUGCUCGCGGCAACUCCAUCCCUUUUCCUCAUACCCUGCCCGAGGCACCUCUUCGAUCUGGCUGCUCCCGAGUUCUGUCCCUUUAUAAUGAACUGGAGAUCUAGAGGAAGACAGUGUGAAGACACUGGAGAAAGAUGGCCAUCUAUAAGCUGAGGAGGAAGACAUUAGAAGAAGCCCUGCCAACACAAGGAUCCUGGACUUCUAGAAUAAAAGAGGAACUGCAAUUAGACACGAAGCUUAUUGGAAGAAGGCUUAGAAAUGGAGUGGACAUGCAAAAGGGGACCAACCCAAACAUUUGCUAAAUUUCUGCCUGAAUUGUUUGGAGUCUUUUUAUGGAUGAAAGAUGCGUGCUUCACAACCUCCUCACUGCUGGACCGGGGUGGUAAGAUUUCCUUUGGCUUAAAUACAC
This is a long non-coding RNA of Felis catus (domestic cat), 555 nucleotides long. RefSeq lists it as uncharacterized. Lineage: Eukaryota; Metazoa; Chordata; Mammalia; Carnivora; Felidae. The record is from RefSeq and is a predicted model, not a curated record. The transcript is spliced from 4 exons.